Gossypium raimondii (Peruvian cotton) is the source of this 105-nucleotide non-coding RNA. The record is from Rfam. NCBI's taxonomy places the organism in Eukaryota, Viridiplantae, Streptophyta, Magnoliopsida, Malvales, Malvaceae.
AAGCUUUUUCAUUUUAUUUUUGAUCAAAGAGUAAUUCUCUAUUGUUAGAUUUAACGAAGAAAAUCGGAACCCAAUACGUUAGGGCUCAAUUUUCUUGAAAAUCCU